RNAcentral lists this ribosomal RNA (34 nucleotides) under Globodera pallida. RNAcentral's name for it is "partial 28S ribosomal RNA". Lineage: Eukaryota; Metazoa; Nematoda; Chromadorea; Rhabditida; Heteroderidae. The record is from RNAcentral.
UCGACCUGAACUCAGACGUGAACACCCGCUGAAC